This 464-nucleotide ribosomal RNA is filed under the name uncultured bacterium. Its description in RNAcentral is "partial 16S ribosomal RNA". It matches the Rfam family "Bacterial small subunit ribosomal RNA", at positions 29 to 507 of the family's 1533-position model. The record is from RNAcentral.
ACGAACGCUGGCGGCGUGCUUAACCCAUGCAAGUCGAACGGAAAGGCCCUGCUUGCAGGGUACUCGAGUGGCGAACGGGUGAGUAACACGUGGGUGAUCUGCCCUGCACUUCGGGAUAAGCUUGGGAAACUGGGUCUAAUACCGGAUAGGACCGCACUUUAGUGUGUGUGGUGGAAAGUUUUUUCGGUGUAGGAUGAGCUCGCGGCCUAUCAGCUUGUUGGUGGGGUAAUGGCCUACCAAGGCGGCGACGGGUAGCCGGCCUGAGAGGGUGUACGGCCACAUUGGGACUGAGAUACGGCCCAGACUCCUACGGGAGGCAGCAGUGGGGAAUAUUGCACAAUGGGCGCAAGCCUGAUGCAGCGACGCCGCGUGGGGGAUGAAGGCCUUCGGGUUGUAAACUCCUUUCGCUAGGGACGAAGCUUUUUGUGACGGUACCUAGAUAAGAAGCACCGGCUAACUACGUG